GAAAAAGAAGAAAAUGAAGAGAGUCCAUCUCCUAUCUCUCUCUCUCCUCUCACUCUCACUCUCCCUAUCUAUCUCUCUCAGAUAUUCUUUUCAAGCAUUUAGGUUUUGAUCUUCUUUUUUUUCCUCUUCUUUCUUGAAGCUGUUCGAGUGAUAUGCAGAGAUUGGGUGAAUCGCUCUUGUAAAUUGCGGAAAAGACUCUCAACUCUACAUCUAUCAGGCAAGUGCACACUUAAGAUGAAGUUGUUGGGCGGGAACAGGAACCAAAUGACUUGCAUCACGUUUGAUUUCUCAAUUGGGUUCGGAUCACCCAUCAGCGAGAGUUAAGGUCAAGGCAUGGAUGGGGGACAGCUCUUGUCUACAUCUCGUAACAGAGAAAUCUCAGUGUCGUGAAAUCAACGCUACUCUACGAUCCAAUCCAGAGAUUUUCUGAAGAAAUAAUGCAGUUUCAUUGAUGUUUUCUCAUGAUACCUCGCUUUGGAGCAUUUUUAUUGUGAGUCGUGAACGGAUUUCAUUUUUCUGGAGAAUUUGAAGGAUUUCUUAGAAGUCAAUGUUUGCAUGUCAGUUGAGCUUGUCAAGGAGAAGGGCUUUAGAAUGAGAUCGUUAAUUAUGGAGGAGAUCCUGAAAGUGCAGUGGAUGUUGUAUGUGGGAGGAUUGGAGUUGCAUAUUUCAGAUUCAAGCAUAUGUUGUUGUCAUACAUGCAGAUCAAUUCUUCUAUGUUUGGGUGCAUGGCGAUUGGAUCUGAAAAUUUGAGAUUUUCAUUCAUUUAUUUCAUGACUUUUGGUUUACUUGUGAUGGGAUUCUGGUGGAAGGUCUGUUCUGGAAGGAUGUUAGCAAACUGAUUGAUGAUUAUAGUGGAGAUUCUCGAAAGAAUAAAUGAACUCAAACAGGACGAAUAGAUAUGACACGACAGGUCAGACAGCAGUUUGCGCUCAUCCCUUAAAAAUUUUAAGGCAAUUCGAAUUCUACUGGUUUUAAAGAACUCGAGUUCAUAGGAUUCAUGGCCAACCAUUUCUCUGGACAUCUCUUUGAAAACAGAAAUGAAUAUGUAACUUCUCUUUCCUACCGAGGCCAUUUUAAACCUC
Molecule: long non-coding RNA, 1082 nt
Organism: Magnolia sinica
Lineage: Eukaryota; Viridiplantae; Streptophyta; Magnoliopsida; Magnoliales; Magnoliaceae
Exons: 7
Source: RefSeq, a predicted model, not a curated record